AGAAAAGUAUUCUUUUUCACGUCUGUAUUGAAAGCAAAAUAUUAUGUAGGACAGCUCCAUUGCUCUUCGUGAGGAAUUGACAUCAAGAGAUUUCGGAAGCAUAAUUUUUUGGUACCUGGGCAGCUGGUAAUCCUGGGUCCCAGUGCUCCU
Small nuclear RNA from Mustela putorius furo (domestic ferret), 150 nucleotides. The record is from Ensembl. Lineage: Eukaryota; Metazoa; Chordata; Mammalia; Carnivora; Mustelidae.